AUGGAUGGAUGCCUCGAGCAGGUGGCCGAAGUUGACGACGAAGGCGUUGGGCACGGACUCGACGUUGAUCCAGUCGCCCUUGUAGGAGACCUGGAGGCCGGGCACGGUGCUCUGGAGCAGGAGAGUGAUGAGGUUCCGGUCGCAGUGGGGCGGCAGGCCGAGCGUCAGGCCCGGGGCAGGGCACGGCGGGUAGUGGUUAACGUUGAUGAUCACGUUGCCGCCGGUGAGGGCCCCUUCGAAGUAGUCCGGACGGAGCCCCAUGCCCUCGCACAGCAGCCUCAGCAGCUUGCAUCCCCACGCCUCUCGUCGGCUCCACGAACUUCUCCACCACCUCGCUGCAGUCAACACCAAAAUUAG
Molecule: ribosomal RNA, 357 nt
Filed under: Triticum aestivum (bread wheat)
Lineage: Eukaryota; Viridiplantae; Streptophyta; Magnoliopsida; Poales; Poaceae
Description: partial small subunit ribosomal RNA
Source: RNAcentral